This 468-nucleotide ribosomal RNA is filed under the name uncultured bacterium. Its description in RNAcentral is "partial 16S ribosomal RNA". It matches the Rfam family "Bacterial small subunit ribosomal RNA", at positions 28 to 507 of the family's 1533-position model. The record is from RNAcentral.
GACGAACGCUGGCGGCGUGCUUAACACAUGCAAGUCGAACGGAAAGGCCCUGCUUUUGUGGGGUGCUCGAGUGGCGAACGGGUGAGUAACACGUGAGUAACCUGCCCUUGACUUUGGGAUAACUUCAGGAAACUGGGGCUAAUACCGGAUAGGAGCUCCUGCUGCAUGGUGGGGGUUGGAAAGUUUCGGCGGUUGGGGAUGGACUCGCGGCUUAUCAGCUUGUUGGUGGGGUAGUGGCUUACCAAGGCUUUGACGGGUAGCCGGCCUGAGAGGGUGACCGGCCACAUUGGGACUGAGAUACGGCCCAGACUCCUACGGGAGGCAACAGUGGGGAAUAUUGCACAAUGGGCGGAAGCCUGAUGCGACAACGCCGCGUGCGGGAUGACGGCCUUCGGGUUGUAAACCGCUGUCGCCUGUGACGAAGCGUGAGUGACGGUAAUGGGUAAAGAAGCACCGGCUAACUACGUG